GCAAGUCGAACGAGAAUUAUGACUUCGGUCAUAUUGAUGGUGACGCACGGGUGCGUAACGCGUAUGCAACCUAUCCUUAACUGGGGGAUAGCCCGGAGAAAUUCGGAUUAAUACCCCAUAGUAUCCAAAGAUGGCAUCUGAAUUGGAUUAAAGAUUUAUUGGUUAAGGAUGGGCAUGCGUGACAUUAGUUAGUUGGUAAGGUAAUGGCUUACCAAGACAUCGAUGUCUAGGGGUUCUGAGAGGAUGAUC
This 249-nucleotide ribosomal RNA is filed under the name uncultured bacterium. RNAcentral's name for it is "partial 16S ribosomal RNA". It matches the Rfam family "Bacterial small subunit ribosomal RNA", at positions 57 to 305 of the family's 1533-position model. The record is from RNAcentral.